This 863-nucleotide long non-coding RNA is filed under the name Vigna radiata. Its description in RNAcentral is "long non-coding RNA (VRAD_LNC011930)". The record is from RNAcentral. Lineage: Eukaryota; Viridiplantae; Streptophyta; Magnoliopsida; Fabales; Fabaceae.
GAAUCUAGAAUGUCAAUACUGGAAACAUAUAUAAAAGCAUCACAUAAACUUGUCUCAAGUAUUAAAGCACAUGAAUCUAGACAAAGAGUGAAGACAUGAUGAAGACCAUAAUGCAACAAAUGCAGUUUCGAAAAUUAGAGUUGAAGUAACUCAACCACAAAUUUUGAGAUUCAGCAUGGAUUUGUGAUUACUAUCACUUGCAACAUUCACAAAUGCUUCAAACAAACUUGUUCACAACUGUAGAAAGUCAAGAAUUGCAAAAAAUCGAAUUAAAUGCGUGCUAGCAGAAACAAAUAUCAGAUGCAGAGGUUUGAAUGAGGAACUCAAUCACUUAAUUUGGAUUUUAAUGAAGCAUAGGUGUUGGAAUCACUUCAGGCACAUCCAAACACAUGAAACAAAGUUGCACGCAACAGAAAACACCAGAAAUCUGGACUGCAACAGAAUAUACCAAUUCAAACCAGAAAGCACGGUUUUAUGCAGAGAUAGUCUCGGUCAAUGCUAAAAAAUGCUUUGAUCAAAGCUAGGCAAUGCCUCAUGGCUUUAUAUGAUCAAAAUUGAGCUAGGAAAUCCAUGGACACACAACAAAAACGAAAAGCAAGGCUGGAACAGAAUCAAAACCUAGUGACAGAAUGAAAACUGCAAAGAUAAUUGCACAAUACCGUGACAGAAACGGAAUGUAAAAUUGGAUGAUGAAUUGGACUCAAACAAGUGAUAUGCACUGAUUAAAAUGUAAAGCAAACACUAAGGAUCAGAGAACGAACACAAUUCACUCAAACACGAACUGAAAACGAAAAAAAAAUUAAUGGAACAGUGACAUAUAAACAGAACAACACGGUAAAAGUGAAAGACGAAUUGAAUGAGUG